CCUACGGGAGGUAGCAGUGAGGCAUAUUGGUCAAUGGACGAGAGUCUGAACCAGCCAAGUAGCGUGAAGGAUGACUGCCCUAUGGGUUGUAAACUUCUGUUAGAUGGGAAUAAAAUGUUCAACGAGUGGGAUGUUGUAUGUACCAUAUGAAUAAAGAUCGGCUAACUCCGUGCCAGCAGCGGCGGUAAUACGGAGGAUCCGAGCGUUAUCCGAUUUAUUGGGUUUAAAGUGAGCGUAGGUGGAUUGUUAAGUCAGUUGUGAAAGUUUGCGGCUCAACCGUAGAAUUGCAGUUGAAACUGGCAGUCUUGAGUACAGUAGAGGUGGGCGGAAUUCGUGGUGUAGCGGUGAAAUGCUUAGAUAUCACGAAGAACUCCGAUUGCGAAGGCAGCUCACUGGACUGCAACUGACACUGAGGCUCGAAAGUGUGGGUAUCAAACAGGAUUAGAUACCCUUGUAGUC
RNAcentral lists this ribosomal RNA (459 nucleotides) under uncultured bacterium. RNAcentral's name for it is "partial 16S ribosomal RNA". It matches the Rfam family "Bacterial small subunit ribosomal RNA", at positions 338 to 795 of the family's 1533-position model. The record is from RNAcentral.